AGCCCCGAGGUGUUCGUCAUGUAGGAUUGCAAAUCUUAAGGAGCAGACUAGAGAUCUGCCGGGGCUU
This 67-nucleotide transfer RNA is filed under the name Benthodesmus tenuis (slender frostfish). RNAcentral's name for it is "tRNA-Cys". The record is from RNAcentral. Lineage: Eukaryota; Metazoa; Chordata; Actinopteri; Scombriformes; Trichiuridae.